GAAAUGCGAUAAGUAAUGUGAAUUGCAGAAUUCAGUGAAUCAUCGAAUCUUUGAACGCACAUUGCGCCCGCCAGUAUUCUGGCGGGCAUGCCUGUUCGAGCGUCAUUUCAACCCUCAAGCUCAGCUUGGUGUUGGGACUCGCGGUAACCCGCGUUCCCCAAAUCGAUUGGCGGUCACGUCGAGCUUCCAUAGCGUAGUAAUCAUACACCUCGUUACUGGUAAUCGUCGCGGCCACGCCGUAAAACCCCAACUUCUGAAUGUUGACCUCGGAUCAGGUAGGAAUACCCGCUGAACUUAA
RNAcentral lists this unclassified non-coding RNA (298 nucleotides) under uncultured Nectriaceae. Its description in RNAcentral is "partial contains 5.8S ribosomal RNA, internal transcribed spacer 2, and large subunit ribosomal RNA". The stretch from base 1 to 105 matches the Rfam family "5.8S ribosomal RNA", at positions 50 to 154 of the family's 154-position model. RNAcentral also lists the same sequence under 1 other name. Lineage: Eukaryota; Fungi; Ascomycota; Sordariomycetes; Hypocreales; Nectriaceae. The record is from RNAcentral.